CUCCUUCGGGAGGGGAUUAGUGGCGAACGGGUGAGUAACACGUGGGCAAUCUGCCCUGCACUCUGGGACAAGCCCUGGAAACGGGGUCUAAUACCGGAUACGAGUUUCACAGGCAUCUGUGAUUCUGGAAAGCUCCGGCGGUGCAGGAUGAGCCCGCGGCCUAUCAGCUUGUUGGUGAGGUAACGGCUCACCAAGGCGACGACGGGUAGCCGGCCUGAGAGGGCGACCGGCCACACUGGGACUGAGACACGGCCCAGACUCCUACGGGAGGCAGCAGUGGGGAAUAUUGCACAAUGGGCGCAAGCCUGAUGCAGCGACGCCGCGUGAGGGAUGACGGCCUUCGGGUUGUAAACCUCUUUCAGCAGGGAAGAAGCGAAAGUGACGGUACCUGCAGAAGAAGCGCCGGCUAACUACGUGCCAGCAGCCGCGGUAAUACGUAGGGCGCAAGCGUUGUCCGGAAUUAUUGGGCGUAAAGAGCUCGUAGGCGGCUUGUCGCGUCGGAUGUGAAAGCCCGGGGCUUAACCCCGGGUCUGCAUUCGAUACGGGCAGGCUAGAGUUCGGUAGGGGAGAUCGGAAUUCCUGGUGUAGCGGUGAAAUGCGCAGAUAUCAGGAGGAACACCGGUGGCGAAGGCGGAUCUCUGGGCCGAUACUGACGCUGAGGAGCGAAAGCGUGGGGAGCGAACAGGAUUAGAUACCCUGGUAGUC
Molecule: ribosomal RNA, 705 nt
Filed under: Streptomyces sp.
Lineage: Bacteria; Bacillati; Actinomycetota; Actinomycetes; Kitasatosporales; Streptomycetaceae
Description: bacterial SSU rRNA
Rfam family: Bacterial small subunit ribosomal RNA
Source: RNAcentral